This is a non-coding RNA of Hammondia hammondi, 351 nucleotides long. Lineage: Eukaryota; Apicomplexa; Conoidasida; Eucoccidiorida; Sarcocystidae. The record is from Rfam.
UAGAUCCUUCUCCAAAGAAGCGAAAACUGAGUUUUUAGUGUGUUGAAGUCGUCAGCGCUUGGUCAGGAGGGGCAUUUUGCCGGUACACAGUUGUGAACUGCGAAUUUUGUCCCAUAUUGAGCAAAAGGGGAAGAGGUAAUCGGUAUUAUAAACCGGGAAAUGAUAACAAGAUUUUAUUGGCCAACUGUGUGAAAAUGGUUUGACGCAUUAAUUGUGUGCCUUUUAUCCUUGGGAAAACCAAUCUGAAAAGGAGUUGUAAUGGAUACCGAUCUGAAAAUGUCACUGUUCACCACUGUCUGUGCGCUGGCCGUGAUUAUUGCUUUUAGCUUCACCGCAGCAUUGAACUGAUCC